Molecule: non-coding RNA, 13353 nt
Organism: Vicugna pacos (alpaca)
Lineage: Eukaryota; Metazoa; Chordata; Mammalia; Artiodactyla; Camelidae
Source: RefSeq, a predicted model, not a curated record
UGGUAAAUUUUUUUUCUUGGAGAGAAUCACUGAAUCUGAGAUGAGUGAAAAUAAACUAUAACUGUUACAAAUUUAAAAAAAUUUUUUAAACUGACUUUGUGCCUGCAUAAACAGGUGUUGCACUCCUGGAAUGUUAGAAGAAGGGUGUGUGGUUCUGGCAGCUUGUUUCCACAAGGUGUCUUUAGAAAGGUCCAUUUCUUACCUGUCUGGCUGGUGAAGGUACAUGUCCAUUUCUGCCUUUAGAGGGUGAGAGUAAACUUACCAUGUGCCACUGACCAGACAUCUGGUUUCAGUCUUAUUUUCCAAAUGCACGAAGUCUAACUUUGUUUCUUAUCUUUAUCUUCUUUAACAUAUCUUUGGGCUAUGGGAUUUUGCUGAUUUUUAGGCCAUGAUCAUUAGUUCACAUUUUGUCAGUCUUACACGCACUGUGGAAGGUUUUGGUUCUAUAUUUUAUGGUUGCUUUGACUGUCUUCAACAAUAUGCCUAUAUAAUGAAAGUACAGGCAGAUGUGAUCUAGGGGAAGACUCAAUAAAUAACACCCUUUUUCUAAACUCAGACUCGGAACCAAUAGAAAUAGAGAAAUGGCAGGCAGGUGGAGACCAAAUGUCAGUUUAAUCAAUGCUGAUGAAGCUGUUGGAGAACGAUGUAUCUUAGUGUGAAAGCCUAAUGCACCUGCCUUCUAACUGAUAUCCAGGUUCAAUGCCUGGUUGCUUAUAAGCUGCACUUAAAACAAUUGCAACAACACAAAGAAUCUAAAUAGUUACCAGGACAUAUAAAAUUUUCAAAGUUUGGCCCUACAUCCUCAAAAUUUAGAAAGCAGGCCAAUCCCCAGCCCCUAGCAGAUGCCAGGGAAAGUUUUGUCACAGAAACCUGUCAAAAGACCCUGACACUCAGUGAUGUCUGAGGGAAGGUGAAUAGGCUGAAAAGGUCUUAAUUUGAUUUUGCUGGGACUCAAGUAAUUCUAUACCAGUUAUUGUCUCCAGCUUGUGAACUCAGUUGGGAGAACCACCCAUUAAGAGGUUAAUUAUGACUUGAAGUUUGUUCUGUCCUGAGGGGCAUCUACCUGUGUCCAGUCUUGUGUGUAGACAGUGGUAUUUAAGACCAUGCUGCCGUCUUGGAGUGUUAAUUGACAGCAGUAGUGGCAGCCCCAACCAGGUCUUCUUUGAGGUGCCUUUCUUUUUCAUCCAGCAUAUUUAAAUUACUUAAUAUCAUCUCCCCUUUGGGUCCUGUGUUUCUGGCAUGUCGGGGCUGCAUUGAGGGUGGGCUCUAAUCUCACAGCUUCCCUAGCCCACUGUGAGCAGUCCUCAGGGCCACUGCCUUCUCAGUGUUCCAGGAGUUGCUCAGGUCCAGGACACCUGCUACUGAAGGGGUGCGAGGAGGAGGGGAGGUGUUCCUUGACCCCGCACAUUUCAGUCGAGAAUCACUGUCUGCAGGUUUUUCACCUGAAGCUGCUGUUCUUCUGAAGAUUGUUCUUCCAGGGACCAAGUGAGAAUCAAGACCUCUGCCAUGUGUUCCUCAAGAUACUGUACUCAGCUUCUGGAUGGGUCAGGAGACAUAGCAAAGCCCAGAAAUAUGGAUAUGACCACUAAUAAACACAAAAGGGCUAAAAGCUGGGAAACAUGCAUCCAGAAAUACAUUUGCAUUCAUCAGCCACCAACUUGGAACGUGAAACACGGACAUAUAGAUCAAGGAGAUAGAAGAAAGUGUGAAAAAAAAGACAAAGGUACACACAAGAAUCACAAUAUUCUGGGUAGCCUUUGUCUUUGGAGAGAGGCUGAAGAUGUGUCUAGGGCUGUGAAUAUAUUUAACUUGCUGUUUGUGCCUGUAGAGAAAAAGCACCAUGGAACUACUAGUCCAGACUAAGAUCCCCAAGCACACCACAUCAAUGGAAGCAUGCAGAAAGGCAAAGAGUGAGGAGGUGACAGGAUUAACAACAGCACAGGAACAGUAUCCAAAAUAGUUCAGAGCGUUGUUUCUUAUCUUCCUUGGGCCAGUCACUUUCAGAGGAACCACUAUGUUUCCCAGAAGAUGCACCCCCCAGCAAAGGAAAUAGAAAGGCCUAAUAUACUUUAGGACUCUGACUUUGAGCUCAGCCCACUUGGAUUUACUGUGAAUGAUUGUGAUGGCCUGGAAAACACUCAGGAAGCAAGUGGAAGAGAGACAGAUUUCCCAGGCCACCCUGUGAAUACAAAACAAAAAUUUACAUCCAUAGUCCUCCAGGAAAUUGUUCCACCCAAAAGAUACCAUUGUCUGAGGGAUUCCCUUGGAGAGAAGGACGAAACAGUUGGCUAAGAACACAUGUUUGAAUAUAUGGUCUGAGGGUCUUGCCCUGUUUCCUGUGUGGAAAUUGAAAGUAUAAAUCAAAAGGAAGGAGGAAUUCCCCAGAAUUUCAACACCAUUCUGGGACAGGAAGAAAAUCCCCAAUGUCAAGUCCCCAGAAUCCAUCUAUUCACAGGAGUGGGAUGCUUCAUCUGGGAACGGAAGCAGAGAGAGAAGGAAGACAGGGAGAAAAACAAGGGAAGGGGAUAAUGAUAACGGUUUUCCAGUGACUGAUCCUGUCUCAGGCCAAUAAAUACUUAACCAAAGAGGAUACAAAUAGUGCUGCAAGCCUGAAUUCACAGGCACCCGAGUGGAUCUUGUUCUCAUUUAAAAAAAUACAUUGACUCAUCCAGCCAAAGCCCAGAGGGAAGAUCAUCCAGAGAACCUUCUAUAUCCUAUUCAUGACAUCCAGUUGGCGUGAUGUCAUCAGUAUAGCGGGAUGUCAGAAUGAUCAAAAUCCCUUUGGGUUACAUUGUGACCUAGAACAGAAGAGUUGUCCUAGCCCUGUGGAAAGAGUCGAAAGUGAACUGCUUUCUUAUCCAGGGCUCGGCUGAGACCUAACCUGGCGACUGGUCUGGAGCCUUGAGGAGGGUCGUACAUGGGAUUUGAGGUUGCAGAUAUCAUCCUGGGAGGCAGCCACCUCAGGAGGCCUUUGUGUGGCCACAAGGUAACAGGAGCCUGCACUCUUCUAGCAAAGGUGAGAGAACCACUUUUAUAGUAAACUUGGGGGAUUUCUAGGGGAACCCAGGGGCUCAGGAGUCUCAGGGAAAACCUCAUACACACUCCUCACCUUGGUGUCAGGUCCUUCUCCUUCAGCUUUAAGGGUCUAAUUUAGCAGAGAAGACCUGUAAGUUCUGUGCGUUCCACAUCAUUUUAACUCCACUGCCUUUAUCAUUAAACCCUGGCCUAAAAUUUAGCCCAGUUUGCCUUCUUGCUACAGGAGAUGAGGGUCUGUUUAAAAUGCUGCAUGGCAAGAUUUCUGGCUUUCACAGUGUUUCCUUAGGUUAUGGAUGGCCAAACACGCAAUUCCAAAAUGCUUUCAAUCACUCUUUCCCCCAUGCAGUUCAAAUGCUGAACUAAUACAUAAACCAGUGCUUCCCUUUCCGUCCGUACCUCAUCCCAGUCCACCACAUGCCUUUCCAGUGCUCCCUGUGUGGCACUUAACACCCACAAAACAGUCCUCAUGAUUCUGGGCAUCUUCGCUCAUGUGGCCUGAGAGUUGCUGAUUUUCUUUCACCAGGAUGGUGGAGCCAACUAAAGUAACCAAAACUUCUAAUAUGGAGAGAAAUGAUAGGUUUUCCUAAAUUACUUUCUAUACAAGAGAAAGUAUAUCAAUCAUAAAGUAGAAUUACAGUUUUUAAAAGACUGAUCUUUUUAAAAAGCCCUUAGAAAAAUCAUAGUUACCUUCAAAAGACAAUUUAAGUACCUGUUCUGCUAAGGAUGGACAAAAAUUUCCACCAGAAAAAGAAUGAAAUUAAAUUGCAACAGGUGAGUAGACGCUACAUGGAGGAAUGUGGCAAAAUCAUCUUCCCCUUCCGUACUAGAGGUAUCAGUGCCCUUUGCAUCUAGCUGGAGUCUGAGUACCCAUCACCCAUGGACUGCUGCCCACACCAAGUCCUGUGUGUGACUGCUGUCAGGAAAAGUCACAAAGCUGGACCUGACUCAGGGAGCAGAGAAACAGUCCUCAACCUGAUGGGAGGACCUAGAAGUCUCAUUGUAAAGGAGCACCCUGACAAGGAGGCUCAGAUAACUGUAACCCAUUUUUGCAGUCUGCUCCAAGUCUAGAUGUUUUGCCCUCCCUAGAAACAACUACCACUGAACAUUCAAAUGUUUAUCAAUUGUCUAUAAUUAGACACUUCCGUAAUUUGCAUACUUCCCCCUAGAACAGCAAAAGUCUAUUGAAUGUGUAAAGUUGUUUAGUAACUGGUGAGGGUCACUUGAGAAAGCCUCCUGGAAGCCUCAUCUUGAAUUCCUCGGGUUCAUCAAAUGUUUAACUGAAAAAUGUUGAUUUGUCCAGAAAAAGGCAAGAGACAGGUUGGGAUCGUGCAGCAAUACAUAUUAUAUAUUUUGGGAUAUUUUGUCAUGUCCUCUUGAACAAAAAUAUCUAAUUCUAUUUUUCCUAGGGCAGGAAAAUAUAAAACACAACUAAACCUCUUCCAACACCUAAGUGAGAUCCCUGAUUGUUACUUCAUUCUUCAUUUAUGUCCGAUGUGACUCACGUUUGUCUUGUCCUUUGGAAUGUUGCUCCUGGGACAAACGAGUGUAUUUAAAACAUGGCUAAAAUUCACAAGCACCCUCAAGAGAAGUCAUUUUUUCCUACCUUUGCUGGUGUCAAGGAAAUAUAAUUUUAAAAUAUUCCAACCCAGGAAACCUCUCUAUAAAGGUUGAAGAAAAAGAAAAUUUUAUUAUUGAAUAAGCAAUAAACUAGAACGUGAUGUACAUCACUGGUCAUCCACUAAGAGGUUGCCAAGACAGAAAGAAAUCUCAUUCUUUUAUUUUUAUUUUUUAGAAGGGGACUGGUUAUUAGGUUUAUUUAUUUAUUUUUUUAAUGGAGGUACUGGGGAGUAAGUCCAGGAUCUCGUUCAUGCUAAGCACACACUCUACCCCUGAGCUGUAUCCUGCCCCCCACAAUCUCACUCUUUUACAGUGGCUAAGCAGAUACAACCCAUUACAUACAUGUUCUCCAGAUACACAGUAACUAGUCAUCAAACAAUAGUCCUCAGACAAUGACUCGUCCUCAAGCAGGACUUGACAGCAGCUUUACUGCAGAUAGUUCAUCCUAAAUUCACCUGUAAUUGGGGUGGCCAUCUAUAUUAGUUUAUUGAUUUUAUAUGAAGGAAAAACAGACUUCUCCUGUCUUUAGGACAGGAGAUAGUUUUGCAACUGCAAGCCAGGUCCCUGCCAAAGGUAGGUGCCUGCCCUCCCCCAGAAAUUGGGAGAAAAGGGUGCUGUCUUCCCUUGAUGCUUACAUUUCAAAAAGAUGACUCCCAGGUCCCUGCGAAGGGCAUUCCUGGAUCAUAAUGCUGGCAAGAGGUUUAUUUUGCUUCUAAAAAGAUGUAUCUGCAUCUGGAAGAGGCAGAGAAUGAACUUACCAUUACAAAAUUUCUUAAGUAAAAUGCUCUAAGAUAAGGGAAGGGAAGGAAAUUUCUCCUGUACUUCCAACGGAGAAAAUUAAGCCUCAUUUUUCCUUUGUAUUUGCCCAGACCUCAAGCAGGAGAUCUUCUUUGUUGGCUGUGGUUAUCAGUAACCAUGGCAUUCAGAGUACUUCCAAAUCUCCUCAGGUUAGAAAGGACUCGCCCAUUCCUUCACUCAUCAGAUUAUAAUUAAAUCCUAGGUUUCCAGAAACAAGCCUGGACUAUGAUGAUUCAGAAGUGAGUCAGAAAGACAGAUUCCUUUCAUCAAAGAAAUUACUUUCCAUAGAGGGAGGCAGACAAAUAAGUGAAUUUACUUGAUACUUUAUUUACAGUAUAAUUAUAGGUGCUGUGAAGGGUAAGUGAAGAUAAAUAAAAUAGCAUAAAAGGCCAAGCUUGAUGGGAAGUCUUAUUUUAGAAAAAAACUUUAUGUGGGGCUAGUAUUUGGCUGAGGUGUGAAGGAAGUGAUGGGAACUACAAAAGUAGAUGAGGGUCAUAAGCAAAAAGAAAUGGAGAAAAACUGAGUUUUGGCCUAAGCAAAAAUGAACGUAAAUGACAUUUACUUUGUGUGAGAGAGAACACAGGGAAAAUGUACAUUUGUGGGACCAGAAAGAAUUGUUUUUCGACAUGUGAAGUCUAAAAGAUAAGUGUUAGGAAGAUAGCCUGUUACAUUGUUUCAAAGUCCCAUUAAGUGCCAGAGAAGGAUAUUAUAAACAUUGGAGUCUUUCGUAUAUAGACAUCAUUUAUACCAGGCAUCCAGACAUCCUUUUCUGGCUAAUCAUUUACACCAGGCAUCCAGACAUCCUUUUCUGGCUACGACAGAGUGGUUUGUGGAAGACCCAUGCUCCCACGAUAAACAGAUUAAAAGGGAAAUAAGAUUUUUUAGAUGAAUCUGUAUGACAUCAUCAGAGAGCUGCCUCAGCAACUAGGAUCUGAGUGGGUAGAGGCCGAAGGGAUGUGACCCGGAAUAGGGGAUCUGAUUUUUGCCUGUUGGCUUUGGGCUAUUCAUAGCACAAGGGAGCCUGAAAAUCCAGGCACAAGGAGGUCUGGGCAGAGCUGCUGCUGAGAGAGAGAAGUGAGCAAAAUGAAGUGGCAAAGUUGAAAUUUGUGGAUGGCAAGGAAGCCAGGCUGUGGGUGGCCAAUAUUUCAGGGAAAAGAGGCAGAAGGACCAGACCCCAACAGAGGACUUCGUCUCUCCGUCUCCUCGAGGCAUUUGCCAAAUUCUUGGACUGCAUUGAGUAGGGGACUAAGAAAUUGGGCAGAAAGCUUCUAAAAUAGCCCACAGUCUCACAGGGCUAAGGAGGAAAAUAUCAAAUGAAUACCUUAGAAAGUAGAGGGACCUUAAGUAAACACACUACACUUUUGGUUGGGGCACCUUGAGGGGCACACCAGAAGUCACAUCUGGUGACUUGUCUUAUCACCUUGCUAUCUACCUGCCCAGCCUGAACACCUUGCUCGGUCUGGGGACCUCACUGUGGCCCCAGUGCUCACAAGUGUUGGAAGCUGCAGAUCUAUUCUGCCCACUACUGUGACUCUUAGCCCUGACCUCCACUUCCCACUCCCAGUAUUCCUGCUCGGUCCUGGCAGCAAUGUGUCUCACCAGGAUCACUGCAGGGCUCACCCACCCCUCUGGCCUCAUGAUUCCACUUACUGUUCAGGAUGCCCAUGAUGACCCUGGGCAGUGCAGCUCUCAAGACCUCCUGUCCAGACUUUUCUCACAUUCCACAUUUCCAAGUGCCCCCACUGCUGCCCCCGUGCCUGGCUUUCACCUUGUCCCAACUGGCUUCCCAGGCCUUAGAAGACCCAUGACCAUCCUGUAAAUGAGAUGCACUAUGGGAGAUUGCUUUCAUCCAUGUCAGGGAGAGUGCAGGAUGGAGAGGACCCUGGAGUGGCUGGGGGUUGGCAAGACAGAGUGUGAGGACCAAGUCACAUUCCCAGAGGUGGGGUUUAGGGAUGGGAGGGAGGGGAGUAGUGGCACUCCUGCCCUGGGUUUGCUGACCUCUGAAGCUGCCAUCUGUUACAAAAUAGCUCAGAUUCCUCCCACUGACGAGGAGGCCCCCAAGCUGCGUGGGCUCCCCAGGACACAGCUGGGUAGGGGCGGGGCACCCAGCAGUUGCUGGGCCUUCAUGCCUCCCUGACACACACAGACGGCCCUACGGGUUGGCAAGUAGGUGGCCUGGCACUGCUCACCAUGCCAAUGUUCACCCACUGUCUUUUUCUCCUUCCGUGGGCUUCCCUGAGCAUCAUCAGUGGCAUUGUCACUGGCAAAGCCCAUUAGCAAUUCCCAGGGAAUAAGAAUAGCAUCUGGGUAAUAAAGUCUAACUGUUUUUGUGUGUGCUUAGUCUAGUACCAGUUGCUCAUAGGGUGCUUCUGUGGGGCGUAAAACAUGAAUUGCAAAUCUUAGCUGCCAUCUUCAAGCUCGCCCUCUGCCCUGCCCCAGAUCUUCCGAGAAAGGAGUGUUGCAUGCGUCUGGUGCCCUGGUUUUUGUAUCUGCUGCUCAGAGAACAAAUCCCUUGGUAGCCUGGCUCUGGUGGGCUUGUGUUCACAGGCUCCACAGAAGAGAACAAAGAAACAGUUGUUAACUAGCUAUCACCCCAGGGCUCAGCACAGAGGGAGCAGAUAGAAAUGCCCAUCUCCCAGUCUUCCCCUGGAAGAGAUUGGUUUGCAUACCUAUAAAAGCUGCUGCCUGAGGGUCUGGCUUCCAAUCAGCCUGAAUCCGGGUGCCAACUGAGAUCCUCCCCUUUGGGAUGCUGACAGGUCUUGCCACAUCUUUAACUACUGGGAGCCACUAAGAAUAAAGUAGGCUGCUUGGACCAUCACAAAAGUUUCAGAGACAACCAAGAGCUAGGGCAGGGUUGAACGAUAAGUUUCAUCUACAGGAAGCUACUCCUUCAGGACAGGGAGAGGUGGCUGUGUUACCUACUUCACAGAAACCAACACAGAGUCAAGCAAGAGGAAACAGAAGACUAUAUUCCAGACUAAAGACUGAGAGAAAACCUCCGAAAAAGACAAUGAAACAGAGAUAACUGAUUUACCUGAUAAAGAGUUCAAAAUAAGAGUCAUAAAGAUGCUUACAGAGCUACGAAGAAAAGUGAAAGAGAGAGUGAGAUCCCAAGAUACAAUCAGUUUGAAAUCACCAUUCCCACCUUACAGAGAGUAAGAACAUGCAGCGACCUGAAAACCAGUUCUAACAUUCGAUGUCCUGGACUCUUCGAGCUGGAAGGAGGCUUAUCACCAAGUUUCAGUCCCAUCUGUUAUUUGUCUAGAUAUCUUCGAAUAAAAGUUUGGGAUGUAUAUCAGAAUCUAACAGAUUCUAAUGUGAACUUCUUGUUCAUAUUAAAAGUGGUGAAUAGUCAGGAUCUUGUUCAUUCACUUCAAGUAGGUAAACCAAAAAGCAGCGACUGAUUUAAAAUUAUUAUUAACAUUAUUAAUCUUAAUACAAUUAAAUUUUUAUUUUAAUUUUACAACUAGUAAAAUGGCAUAGUUCAGGGAAACAUGAACUCAGGGAAAGACUUAUGAAGGACUAGAAUUGUUGAUAGAAAAGCUACCAUAAGACCCUAUCUCGCUUUAAACCAGAACUUUUUUUUCUUUAUCACAGGUUCUUUCUAGUUAAAUCACAUUCUCUUCAAACAAGUUUCCUAUGAACCUAAUUCAGUGGAAGGAAAAAUGUGGUCUUCCCAUUGUUGUCAGGUUUGUAUUUUAUAGGCCUAUCAAUCUGAAAAAUUUUCCGUUCCAAAUUCUGAGAAAGAGGACACUUAAUUGUCCCUGAAAUGCCCAAUCUGGCUUUGGAUGAGGGAGUGGAUAAGGUUCUAGGAAAACAUGGUGGUUCUGAGAACUACAACUGCGGGUCAGGCUGGAGGUGGCAGUGUAAGGAAAGGGUCAUCACCAUUGAGCCUCACACAGGGACUGCUGUAGAAAGUACUGGAAUCAGUUGUCAAGUUCUCAGGAGAAAAGUGUCGGGUCACAAAGGAAAGGCAGGACUGCAAGCCUUCUCAGAGGAGGCCUGCACCCUCCGCAGGGGUCUCUGUGGAGGAGCGUCUUUGAUCUGUACUUUCUCCUUCCCCUGGAAAGUGACCACACAAAGGUGGAAUCCCAGGGGCUACAUUGGUGCUGGGAGAGAGGCCCUGCUGGCCAGAUUCAGUGUCCCAAAAUAGAUCCAUAAAUGCGGCAAGCAGAAUCCCUACCCCGCUGAUUUGGAGUGUAAAGUGUCACGUAGGGAGUGAGUUUGACGAAUGUGGGUGUGUUAGUUGAAAUUUCCUAGAGAUCCUGACAAGUUCAUCAGCAACUAGAGCUGCCCUGGGUCCGGCCCUUUCAGCUCACAGUGCAGAAAGAAGGCGUUGACACUUAACAAACCAGUGUGCGGAGGGACGCCCUCCGCUGUGUGGACCCCGCGAGAGAGGCCGCAGUGGCGGCAGCCCUCGAGUUUGCACCACCUGCAGCCUAUUUUUAUCAGGGCCAGAUGGACUGCAGACUUAGGCCAAUCCUUUAAAUUCAGAGCAACAGGUAGAGCAGAGGGCAGGCUGGCUGUGGGCGGGGCGUGUAAAUGGAGGGCCGGUUGCCUGACGAGGUGUUGUUCAGAAUCUUCUCCUUCCUGGACGCGUCCAGCUUGCUGCACGUCGCCCAAGUGAACAAGUACUGGAACAAGGUUGCCGAGAGUGAGCCGCUGUGGAGAAACCUGUGUCGAAGGAAAUGGAGCUUCUGCACCUUCUCCCAUCGGUGCCCCGGAGCACAGACGUGGAAGCAGUACUUCCUCAAACAAACGAGGCAGGAGCGUUGGAUGGCGUCCGCAAAGCCCGAGAACUUUGUCUACAAGGCAGCAGUUGGCAACCUCGGAAUCUUGGGACCCAUGGCUUAUCUCUCAGGAAGUGGUCCCACGAUGGAUGAAGAGAAGUCCAUCAUUUGUACCGUGUCUUCAAAGCGUAUGCUUUUUGCCUGGGAUGUGCGGGAGGGCACAAUGAUCUGGUCAAGCCCAGUUCAGCAGUCAAGCAUUAUGCACCUGGCGACCCUCCCUCAGAUGCAUCUUGCAUUCACCGUAGAUUUGAAGGGAGCCAUCAAAGUGUGGAAUUGUCAAGAUGAGGACACUCUGGCGACCCUCAUCAUGUCUCAGGCCUGUCUCUCCUUGGAAGCCUUUCUCACAAAGGAUGGCCCAUUCCUGAUGGUAGGCACUUGUGAAGGCGACAUCUACACACUGACGGUGCCUGAGUUAAAGACUGUUUCUAAAGUUAACGCAUUUAAAUACAGAGUUGAUCUUCUCUACUGCUCUCCUGACAAGAGGUGGAUCUUUGCAUCUGGGACACAUGAAUGUAUCUUGCCAAAGGUAUUUUUCACUGAGUGCUUACUGAGACCAUCAGAAGGCAGAACGCCUCUGUCUCUCUCUCUCCCGUUAUCAUCAUGCUGCAGAGCCUGCUGGGCCCCAAGGAGGACAAACAGGGUAACACUGAUGUUCCAAAAAGACGCUUUAAAAAAGACAGGAUUCACCACCUUGGAUCUAACAACUGAGGGGACUGGGGGCAGGACAUUCAUCCAAGCACAUGAGGUUGCAAGUUUCCUGUUGCCAGUUCACAUGGAGAGUCCUAUUUGGAUGGGAGUCAGUGAUGGAAAUACGAUUGUCUUUGAGAGUGGGCCAUACCUCUUCCUCGUCAGCAUCAGUGGCCACCUGCUGCAGCGGUUUGAGUACCACGACAAGACCAUCUGCAACUUAUGGGUGGAUUCUCUCCAUGUCCUGACGACAUCCGUGGAUGACUCUCUGCACGUGUACAUGUGGGAAGAGGAAGGCCGUUAUCCGUACCUCAGGAGCUGCUGUCACUUGGAACACAUAGGAAGUGAUCAGACACCGAGCUGAGUGUUAACUGUUAAUUUAUGUUUGACUUGAUAAGAAACUGGAAAACUCUUGCCCAGAGAGUUGUAUGUUUAUUCAUGCCCACCAGCAACAUAUGGGAGCUCCAGUUACUCCAUAUGCUAUGUUCCCAAGGCAAUAUGUGAUAAUAAGAGCAUAGUAUGCGUGGUGUCAAGAAUUCGUGAAUCCAGCAUUCUGGUGAUGUAUUCUUUGAAUAUGUAAUACUGAAACUAAUGGAAUUAACCUUCCAUCAUCUUCCUCAAUGUAGUAAAGAGUUUUGUUGGCAAACCCAGAAUGAUUAUUUCUGCAAUAUGAGGAUAGAGGCAAUGAUUCCUAUCUGUAGUGAAUCAGACGCUGUGACAGAUACUGUAGAUCGGGCACUGCGCAGAGAGAAUGUGGAUACUAUAUCCUUUGUCCCUGCCAUCGGGAAGAGUAUAAAAUACUAAGGUAGUAAAAUGUGAAUGGUCACACAAAUUUAUAAUGCCACACAAUUCACCAGAAGUAUAUUAUGGGGGAAAUAGUGAAUUUCGAUUGAGGCUGGUUUCAAGGUGAAAGCAUCUGUAUCAGUCCAUCAGUGUUCUUACCUAUAAGCAAAGAAAAAUAAAUCCUGUAAAAUUUAAGUAAAAAAAUGUAUUAGUAAAACUUGGAGGUUAAUAGUUAAAGGUAGCUGGAAGAGACUCAGAAUACAGAUGGCAAUGAAAACCGCUCAAGAGGACUAGGAUAGAAAAUAUGUCGCAGUCUGAAUCACAUGAAUGUUUGGAUUUGCAUAUCACCACAGCCACUGUAAUGGACAUGAUAAAGAAUCCUUGUAUCUCUAGCUCCGGGAUCAGAGUUCUCGGGGAGAGCACUAAAAAUUCAAACCUAAGACACACGGAUCAACUCUUCUGGCUUUGUGGUGAGGGGAGGAUUGGAAGAAAAAUGAUUGAGGGGGUAGAUAGUACUGUAAUGGAAAUGUAAUCUCAGAUUCUCCAAAGAGUGGUGUGGAUAUCUAGAUUGCUAAAGUAUCUGGUCUAAACAUUUAAGUCUUUAAUCCAUUUUGAGUUUCAUUUUUGUACGUGGUGUUAGAGAAUGUUCUGAUUUCAGGCUGUCACAGGUAGCUAUCCAGUUUUCCCAGCACCGCUUAAUCACCCUGCCCCUUUCCCUGGGAGGGGGGCUCGGGCUCUGGGCCCCCUCGUGGGCCCCUCUGUGUCGUGGGCUCCAUGACUGGACCAGGUUCCUGGGCCCUUGGUGGGGCCCAGCCAGGCCCAGGUCCUCCUCGGCUCCUCGCCCUUCCGCCUCUCCAGGUACUUCACCCAGGCCUCUGGUCUCCCAUCUGCUCCCCUGCGCACCUCCAGUGGCCUCGUCUGUGGUUCCUGCUCAUUCUGUCCACUUUCACUUCCUGUAGCUGAGGCCAGUCCUAAAUAUUUAGGAGUUUUUUAUGUCUGUGUUUUGAUGCUUUUCUCAUUAUGAACAUUUCCUUCUUAUUUCUAGUAAUACUUACUGCUAUGUGAAUACUUUUCAGCGUCCACCGUGUAAAUUCUCAGGUAGGAAUUUCCGUUAAGGAGUCACCGAGGUGCAGGGAGAAGCUGGGCUUCUGCUUGAACGGGGGUGUGUGUGUCCUUCGAUCAGGAAGUGACAUUUUCUGCAGUUCCUUCUCUGCCUUAGAAGUCAUUGUAACCCAGGUAAACACACCAGUUUCCAAAUGAACAUAUUGUACUACUUUUAAAAUUACAGUUUCUAAAUAUUUCGUUUUGUCCUCCACUUUAAGUUUAUGCCAGUUAAUCUGAGGAACAUAUUUUACAGCCACCACAGAGGAAAGGAUUAUUAAUCCUCCUAAAAGUAACAUUUUGGUAAGAAAGAGUAUGACAGAGAUUUAUUUGAAUUAGUUGUUUCUCUCCAUUGUUUCUUUUAAUUAAAAAUAUAGUAUCACUAAAGACACAUUUUAAGUGGACAGAAUUAUGGAUUGCUCACUGAAAUAUGAUUUUUAAAAAUAUCUUGGGUUUUUAUUUUUAGUGAAGUCUAGUUGAUUGCCAACAUGUUAUUUUUUAAACUUGUUUUAGAGUUAGUCAUUUUUCAAUGUUGUCAAAU